CUUGAUGUUCAUCAGGGAGCCAAAUUGCUGGUGCUGCCCUUUGUUGGUCAUGAAGUGGACGACAAACGAUCGGCUUAUCUAGUCGAACGAGUAGAAGGAGUCCAACUUCAGACCCAAGUACCAAUCCCGAGCUACCUUCUUAAUGAUAGAGAGGAAGGCUCAGCAUAGAAUCUUGUCGCUUGCUUCUUAAAGGAGUAUGAGGGCCUUGAAGCUCUCUA
RNAcentral lists this long non-coding RNA (218 nucleotides) under Elaeis guineensis (African oil palm). Its description in RNAcentral is "long non-coding RNA (EGUI_LNC032832)". Lineage: Eukaryota; Viridiplantae; Streptophyta; Magnoliopsida; Arecales; Arecaceae. The record is from RNAcentral.